UUAUAAUAUAGGUACAAU
RNAcentral lists this non-coding RNA (18 nucleotides) under Arabidopsis thaliana (thale cress). The record is from RNAcentral. Lineage: Eukaryota; Viridiplantae; Streptophyta; Magnoliopsida; Brassicales; Brassicaceae.